RNAcentral lists this ribosomal RNA (380 nucleotides) under uncultured eukaryote. RNAcentral describes it as "partial 18S ribosomal RNA". It matches the Rfam family "Eukaryotic small subunit ribosomal RNA", at positions 592 to 976 of the family's 1831-position model. The record is from RNAcentral.
CAAUAGCGUAUAUUAAAGUUGUUGCAGUUAGAACGCUCGUAGUCGGAUUUCGGGGCGGGCCGACCGGUCUGCCGAUGGGUAUGCACUGGUCGGCGCGCCCUUCCUUCCGGAGACCGUCCCUACUCUUAACUGAGCGGGGGCGGGAGACGGGACUUUUACUUUGAAAAAAUCAGAGUGUUUCAAGCAGGCAGCUCGCUCUUGCAUGGAUUAGCAUGGGAUAAUGAAAUAGGACUUUGGUGCUAUUUUGUUGGUUUCGAACACCGAAGUAAUGAUGAGAAGGGACAGUCAGGGGCACUCGUAUUCCGCCGAGAGAGGUGAAAUUCUCAGACCAGCGGAAGACGAACCACUGCGAAAGCAUUUGCCAGGGAUGUUUUCACUGA